Molecule: long non-coding RNA, 365 nt
Organism: Sycon ciliatum
Lineage: Eukaryota; Metazoa; Porifera; Calcarea; Leucosolenida; Sycettidae
Exons: 4
Source: RefSeq, a predicted model, not a curated record
UCGCAAAGUGAAGAUUCACGGGUAAAAAGCCCCAAACUGUGAGAUUGGUUAUUUUUCAGGGCUCAGCAGCCCUGGGCGAGUUCUUUAGAGAAAUGUGGCUCUUUUUCUUGGUGCACUUUUCUUUGUCCAGCUGCACAACGAGAUGAGGCUGGUCAUUGUCAUUUUCUGAUCUGUGAACGGGCAGGAAGCUGCACAACGAGAUGAGGCUGGUCUUUGUCAUUUUCUGAGCUGUGAACGGGCAGAAAGCUGCACAACGAGAUGAGGCUGGUCAUUGUCAUUUUCUGAUCUGUGAACGGGCAGGAAGCUGCACAACGAGAUGAGGCUGGUCAUUGUCAUCUUCUGAGCUGUGAACGGGCAGGAAGGUG